AAACUCCGGGAGAUGCUUGUGCUUCAUCCAGCCCAGUGUUUCUCAUGACGUACUCUGCAUAUAAGUUAAAUAAGCAUGGUGACAAUAUACAGUUAAUGAUGUCCUGUGAAUGCUGACCCAUCUGUGCAUCUCUGGGAUUACCUGAUCAUGAUAUAUGAUCCUUUUAAGGAUGAUACUGGUCUUAUAAAAUGAGUUCAGAAGCAUUUCUUCUCCUGCAAUUUUUUUCGAACAGUUUGAGAAGGAUAGAUGUUAACUGUUCUCUAAAU
Dama dama (fallow deer) is the source of this 266-nucleotide long non-coding RNA. RefSeq lists it as uncharacterized. The transcript has 3 exons. The record is from RefSeq and is a predicted model, not a curated record. Lineage: Eukaryota; Metazoa; Chordata; Mammalia; Artiodactyla; Cervidae.